GUUAAUGUAGCUUAAACCACAAAGCGAAGCACUGAAAAUGCUUAGACGAGCUCUUUUCAGCUCCAUGAACA
Molecule: transfer RNA, 71 nt
Filed under: Otolemur crassicaudatus (thick-tailed bush baby)
Lineage: Eukaryota; Metazoa; Chordata; Mammalia; Primates; Galagidae
Description: tRNA-Phe
Rfam family: tRNA
About the family: Transfer RNA (tRNA) molecules are approximately 80 nucleotides in length. Their secondary structure includes four short double-helical elements and three loops (D, anti-codon, and T loops).
Source: RNAcentral